UAAGUAGAGUUUGAUCAUGGCUCAGGACGAACGCUGGCGGCGUGCUUAACACAUGCAAGUCGAACGAUGAAGCCGCUUCGGUGGUGGAUUAGUGGCGAACGGGUGAGUAACACGUGGGUAAUCUGCCCUGCACUCUGGGAUAAGCCUUGGAAACGAGGUCUAAUACCGGAUAUGACACGUCACCGCAUGGUGUGCGUGUGGAAAGUUCCGGCGGUGCAGGAUGAGCCCGCGGCCUAUCAGCUUGUUGGUGGGGUAGUGGCCUACCAAGGCGACGACGGGUAGCCGGCCUGAGAGGGUGACCGGCCACACUGGGACUGAGACACGGCCCAGACUCCUACGGGAGGCAGCAGUGGGGAAUCUUGCGCAAUGGGCGAAAGCCUGACGCAGCAACGCCGCGUGGGGGAUGACGGCCUUCGGGUUGUAAACCUCUUUCGACAGGGACGAAGGGCAACUGACGGUACCUGUAGAAGAAGCACCGGCUAACUACGUGCCAGCAGCCGCGGUAAUACGUAGGGUGCGAGCGUUGUCCGGAUUUAUUGGGCGUAAAGAGCUCGUAGGCGGUUUGUCGCGUCGGCCGUGAAAACCUGCAGCUUAACUGUGGGCGUGCGGUCGAUACGGGCAGACUUGAGUUCGGCAGGGGAGACUGGAAUUCCUGGUGUAGCGGUGAAAUGCGCAGAUAUCAGGAGGAACACCGGUGCGAAGGCGGGUCUCUGGCCGAUCCUGACGCUGAGGACGAAGCAUGGGGAGCGAAAGGAUAAAUACCUGGUAGUCAUGCCGUAACGUUGGGCGCUAGGGGUGGGGAUGGGUCCCCGUUCCGUGCCGUAACUAACCAUUAGC
This 837-nucleotide ribosomal RNA is filed under the name uncultured Saccharomonospora sp. RNAcentral's name for it is "bacterial SSU rRNA". It matches the Rfam family "Bacterial small subunit ribosomal RNA", at positions 1 to 865 of the family's 1533-position model. Lineage: Bacteria; Bacillati; Actinomycetota; Actinomycetes; Pseudonocardiales; Pseudonocardiaceae. The record is from RNAcentral.